This 245-nucleotide ribosomal RNA is filed under the name uncultured bacterium. RNAcentral's name for it is "partial 16S ribosomal RNA". It matches the Rfam family "Bacterial small subunit ribosomal RNA", at positions 524 to 768 of the family's 1533-position model. The record is from RNAcentral.
UACGAGGUGUGCGAGCGUUGCUCGGAAUCACUGGGCAUAAAGGGUGCGUAGGCUGUGCGGCAAGUCGGAUGUGAAAUCCCUCGGCCUAACCGGGGAACUGCAUCCGAUACUACCGCGCUCGAGUGCGAAAGGGGCAAGCGGAAUUCCGGGUGUAGCGGUGGAAUGCGUUGAUAUCCGGGAGAACGCCGACGGCGAAGGCAGCUUGCUGGGUCGCCACUGACGCUGAGGCACGAAAGCUAGGGGAG